This 262-nucleotide unclassified non-coding RNA is filed under the name Hevea brasiliensis (rubber tree). Lineage: Eukaryota; Viridiplantae; Streptophyta; Magnoliopsida; Malpighiales; Euphorbiaceae. The record is from RNAcentral.
AUCAGGAUUCUCAUCAUUGCAAGCUUCAAGUAGGAAGGGAAGAUAUGUAUCGUAAUAUUUCAGCGCUGCUUCGCGACACUGUUCUGCAACAUCAUCAAAGAUGCAAAUUGCAAUCCUUCUUUCUUCAGGCGUCUUAUCUUUCCCCCACAUAGGCGUUAGAUAUGUAGACAGUUCUUGAAAGAAAGGCAAGAAAGACGCUUUGAAUGUUUUUAUCAAAGUUCCCAAUAUUUCACCAACUUGAUCAAAGACUUCUUCCUCUUGU